This 448-nucleotide ribosomal RNA is filed under the name Streptomyces albidoflavus. Its description in RNAcentral is "bacterial LSU rRNA". It matches the Rfam family "Bacterial large subunit ribosomal RNA", at positions 1 to 381 of the family's 2925-position model. The record is from RNAcentral. Lineage: Bacteria; Bacillati; Actinomycetota; Actinomycetes; Kitasatosporales; Streptomycetaceae.
ACAGUGGACGCGAGCAUCUGUGGCCAAGUUUUUAAGGGCGCACGGUGGAUGCCUUGGCACCAGGAACCGAUGAAGGACGUGGGAGGCCACGAUAGUCCCCGGGGAGUCGUCAACCAGGCUUUGAUCCGGGGGUUUCCGAAUGGGGAAACCCGGCAGUCGUCAUGGGCUGUCACCCGCUGCUGAACUCAUAGGCAGUGUGGAGGGAACGCGGGGAAGUGAAACAUCUCAGUACCCGCAGGAAGAGAAAACAACCGUGAUUCCGGGAGUAGUGGCGAGCGAAACUGGAUGAGGCCAAACCGUAUGUGUGUGAUACCCGGCAGGGGUUGCGCAUGCGGGGUUGUGGGAUCUCUCUUCCACGGUCUGCCGGCCGUGGGACGAGUCAGAAACCGUUGAUGUAGGCGAAGGACAUGCGAAAGGUCCGGCGUAGAGGGUAAGACCCCCGUAGUCG